GCGGGCGUAGCUUAAUGGUAAAGCUCCAGCCUUCCAAGCUGAUCACGUGGGUUCGAUUCCCAUCGCCCGCUCCA
RNAcentral lists this transfer RNA (74 nucleotides) under Armatimonadota bacterium. RNAcentral's name for it is "Armatimonadetes bacterium (activated sludge metagenome) tRNA-Gly". It matches the Rfam family "tRNA". Rfam says of the family: Transfer RNA (tRNA) molecules are approximately 80 nucleotides in length. Their secondary structure includes four short double-helical elements and three loops (D, anti-codon, and T loops). Further hydrogen bonds mediate the characteristic L-shaped molecular structure. tRNAs have two regions of fundamental functional importance: the anti-codon, which is responsible for specific mRNA codon recognition, and the 3' end, to which the tRNAs corresponding amino acid is attached (by aminoacyl-tRNA synthetases). tRNAs cope with the degeneracy of the genetic code in two manners: having more than one tRNA (with a specific anti-codon) for a particular amino acid; and 'wobble' base-pairing, i.e. permitting non-standard base-pairing at the 3rd anti-codon position. The record is from RNAcentral. RNAcentral also lists the same sequence under 2 other names. Lineage: Bacteria; Bacillati; Armatimonadota.